GGAGCACUCCUCAGGAGGCUGGAGUGGCUGAAAACCAGACGGGGUCCGUGGCUGACGGGGAGUUGUCACACCUGUAUAGAAGCCGCCUUGCACAGCACCACCCCUCCUUGGUCCCCAGCUUUGCAGCCCCCACCUGACAGCAGACGGGACGCCAAGUCCCUCUGACGCUGCAGGUUUCUUCAGACUUGAGAAACUUAAUGCCAGCCGGGUACACCGUUAAUGAGGGAAGCACAUUUAUCUGACAGCUGAUGGUCCUGGGAGCAAGGAGGAUUGUGUAGGAGGCUGGUGCGAAUCCCAGGACAGAAGCGAGGCUGAUGGCAGACGGCAUCAAUAACAGACACAUCGAGAGCAAACAGCUCCAGCAGGGAAGAGCAGCAAGAGCAAACCUCAUCAGCAACAAACGGCUCUUGUACAUUGCAAAACUGCGGUUGUAGCAAAGUUCUCUUCUGCUUCGAGGGCCGGUUGUUUUUGAAAGAAACGUCACAACAGUGCAACAAAAGCACCAGUGGCUACAGGGCGACGCAGGCAGGUGCUGCCCCCCUCCUCUGCCCUCCCCUCUGCUCCGCGCCAUGCAAAUGGAGAUUUUCGUCCAAAUCACCACACUGCAGAAAAGAGGAAAACGUCUGUACUGAGCUGAGGCGUGCUCUGAGAUGGGGCUGACGUAGAUAGCAUUGGGACUACAGUGCUGCUGUGAUCUCCACAUAUCCUUCAUCCUGGAAGCCUGAAGAGCAGCCAUCACUACAGGUCUUCAGCAAGUUGUCUCCUGGAUCUUCCCACACAGGAGGGAUGGAGUCACGCUGGGCCUG
RNAcentral lists this long non-coding RNA (806 nucleotides) under Anser brachyrhynchus (Pink-footed goose). RNAcentral describes it as "lncRNA (ENSABRG00000005098.1)". Lineage: Eukaryota; Metazoa; Chordata; Aves; Anseriformes; Anatidae. The record is from RNAcentral.